CCUACGGGUGGCAGCAGUGGGGGAUAUUGCACAAUGGGGGGAACCCUGAUGCAGCGACGCCGCGUGGGUGAAGGAGUGCUUCGGCAUGUAAAGCUCUAUCGGUAGGGAAGAAGCAAGACGGUACCUGACUAAGAAGCCCCGGCUAACUACGAGCCAGCAGCCGCGGUAAUACGUAGGGGGCGAGCGCUAUCCGGAUUCAGUGGGUGUAAAGGGAGCGGAGACGGCCAUGCAAGCUAGGGGUGAAAGCCCGGGGUCCAACCCCCGGACGGCUCUAGGAACUGCAUGGCUGGAGUGCGGGAGUGGCAGGCGGAAUUCCAGGUGUAGCGGUGAAAUGCGUAGAUAUCAGGAGGAACACCGGCGGCGAAGGCGGCCUGCUGGACUGCGACUGACGUUGAGGCUCGAAAGCGUGGGGAGCGAACAGGAUUAGAUACCCUUGUAGUC
RNAcentral lists this ribosomal RNA (441 nucleotides) under uncultured bacterium. Its description in RNAcentral is "partial 16S ribosomal RNA". It matches the Rfam family "Bacterial small subunit ribosomal RNA", at positions 338 to 795 of the family's 1533-position model. The record is from RNAcentral.